This 230-nucleotide ribosomal RNA is filed under the name uncultured bacterium. RNAcentral's name for it is "partial 16S ribosomal RNA". It matches the Rfam family "Bacterial small subunit ribosomal RNA", at positions 567 to 791 of the family's 1533-position model. The record is from RNAcentral.
CGUGCGCGAGGCGGUUUUUGUAAGACUGUCGUGAAAUCCCCCGGGCUCAACCUGGGAAUGGCGAUGGUGACUGCAAGGCUAGAGUUUGGCAGAGGGGGGUAGAAUUCCACGUGUAGCAGUGAAAUGCGUAGAUAUGUGGAGGAACACCGAUGGCGAAGGCAGACCCCCUGGGUCAAAACUGACGCUCAUGCACGAAAGCGUGGGGAGCAAACAGGAUUAGAUACCCCAGU